Dromaius novaehollandiae (emu) is the source of this 4970-nucleotide RNA transcript. It is a transcript of the gene named DNA excision repair protein ERCC-8, with no coding region annotated. The transcript has 11 exons. The record is from RefSeq and is a predicted model, not a curated record. Lineage: Eukaryota; Metazoa; Chordata; Aves; Casuariiformes; Dromaiidae.
AGGGCGGCCGCACCGCAGCCAAUCCGGGCCUCCCCGCUCCCAAGAUGGCGGAGUCGAGGUCGGGGCCGGCGGCGGUUGGGCGCGGCGAUGCUGGGCUUCAUUGCGGCCCGCCAGGCUGGUCUGGACGAUCCCGCGCGGCUGCGCCGGGCCGAGGCGACGCGGAGGGUUCUGAGUUUGGAAUUAAAUAAAGACAGGGAUGUGGAAAGAAUACAUGGGAGUGGUAUUAACACCCUUGAUAUUGAGCCUGUUGAAGGCAGAUACAUGUUAUCAGGUGGGUCAGAUGGUGUUAUUGUACUUUAUGACCUUGAAAACUUCAGCAAAAAGCCAUGCUACACAUGUAAAGCAGUUUGCUCCGUAGGAAGGAGCCAUCCUGAUGUACACAGAUUCAGUGUAGAGACAGUCCAGUGGUAUCCUCAUGAUACUGGCAUGUUUACAUCCAGCUCAUUUGAUAAAACAUUGAAAAUAUGGGAUACAAAUACCUUACAACCUGCAGAUGUGUUUCAUUUCGAGGGAACAGUUUAUAGCCAUCAUAUGUCUCCAGUUGCUACCAAACAUUGUUUAAUAGCAGUUGGUACCAAAAGCCCCAAAGUACAGCUCUGUGACUUGAAGUCUGGAUCCUGUUCUCACAUUCUGCAGGGUCACAGGCAAGAAGUGCUGGCAGUGUCUUGGUCCCCGCGUCAUGAAUAUAUUUUGGCAACAGCAAGUGCUGAUGGUAGAGUAAAAUUAUGGGAUGUGAGGAGAGCAUCUGGAUGUCUGACUACACUUGAUCAGCACAAUGGAGAGAAGUCCAAAGCAUCUUCUGAAGCAGCAAACACUGCUCACAGUGGGAGAGUUAAUGGUUUAUGCUAUACAAAUGAUGGGCUUCAUUUGUUGACUGUUGGUACAGAUGAUCGGAUGAGACUUUGGAAUAGCUCCACUGGAGAAAACACAUUAGUGAACUAUGGGAAAGUCUGUAAUGAAAGUAGAAAAGGACUCAAAUUCACCAUCUCUUGUGGCUGUAAUCCAGAGUUUGCUUUUGUACCGUAUGGUAGUACCAUUGCUGUUUAUACUAUUUUUUCAGGAGAACUGAUAACUAUGCUUAGAGGGCAUUAUAAUACUGUUGACUGCUGUGUAUUUCAACCUAAUUUUCAGGUAAGUGAAAUAUUUGGGACAACCUGGAAUAUUUAUGCAGAUUGCCAAACCAUUUGCACAAAAUGUGGUAUCUUCACAGGGAUGUGCUUUAAUAGAAAAGCUUGAAGUAACAGGGAGUUAAGUGGCUUUGUCAAGUGAGAAACAUUAGAUCAAGUACUUCUGAUGGCCCUUUCUAUAUCUCAUUCCUUCCCCUAUUCACUUCCUCUCACACAGGUCUUUUGAGUAUACCUGUAGUAAUUUUUGUCUUAUGUUGUUCUUAAUAAAUCGUAUGUGUUAUUAAGGCUUUUGCUGGUCUUCUGUAAGAGUGAAGAGGAAUUUUCUUCCUUUUUAUUGAGGCAGUCAGUGGCUUAUGAAGAGGUAUUUGCCUUUCUCUGAAACAUCUAAGACUAGUCACAGUAAGAAAGAAAGUGAAGCACGUUUGGAUGAAGUGUAUAGAUAUUCCCAGUCCCAAGCACUCUGAUGUGCUUGGCUGGUGAUCUUGCCUAAAUGCUUGUAAGCUAUACUAAUCACUGCAUCUAUGAACAGUUUGGAAAAAGUUGUUGAGAACGUGAUCAGUUUCUUAAAUUAAACCAGGUGUACUUCACGUAAGAAAUUCCCGUGGCCUUUCAGGGCCUCAUGACUAUGGCAGCCUCUUUUUUCUUUCCUGCUGUGGUACAUUUUUCUCUUGUACUAAAAGUCCUAAAGGUAACAAAGCCUAAUUUGCUGUGAGGUAUUUUACAACAGAUUGUUUUUAUGACUUGUGGUAGUGUGGCAAGGGAAGGGUGGAUAUUCCUAAGCUUUUUAAGUUUUUUACAUAGUUUCCUUCAGUUGUUGAGGACUGUACUUAAUGUUCCAGCUCCUUCUUUCUAGUCUUUUGUUUCUGAAAUAACAGGCAGAAGCAUAUGAGACAGAAAGGUCAAGUGAAUAUCUUUUCUGACCUCUCAUACAAUGCAUCGUGGAAUUUAAUCUAUUGUUCUCACGUCGAGUACAGUAACUUUGACUGAAGGAAUGUUUCCCUGCCAGUGAGAUGGACUUCACUGAGAGAUUUGAACACAUUACAGAUGAGGCAGUAAAGCCCAAGCUAACAAACUUUACUAGACUGGAAAAACGUUUCUGGGAUGAAUAGGCAGGGAGAUACUGGAUCAACUGAGAGGUGGAAUAUUGCCUCUCCUGCCCUCCAAUGCCCCAAAUGGAACUCAAUUAUGAAAAAGCUGAGAAUCAGUGGAUUAAGAUAUGUAUCUUUCUCUCUUGAUUAAACAUUCCAAAGUAUGGAACAUCUGCUUCCUUUGUUGGUGCUGCAAACAAAUAAAAUCCUUAUUAUUAAUAGGUUCAGAUUAUAACUAAGGCAAAUCUUUCCUGGAUUUUAGUUUCUGUUCAUUAAUUCUUCUUGGACUGUUCUUGGCUAGAUUAAAAAGCUCUCUGUCUUUUUAAGAAUGGUCUCAAAAUGAAGGUGCUAGUGUGUUUGUAUAAAGUCAUCUUUGGUAUUCUUUAUGGUAAGCUGAAGGGACAAGACUUCUUAACUAUCACUAGAAAGCAUGUUUUCCAGCCUUGGAAAAACAUGUCUCUUUAUCUUGUCUCUACCUUGUCUUUUGAAAUACUUGGAAAAGUAAACGACACUGCAGUAUCAGCAUCAGUAUUAUUCAAUAUGCCAGAAUUAUCUCCCUGUUCUUGUGUAUCGCUCGUCUGUGUGCCUGUGUGCGUGUACACACAAUUUGUGAGCAUGCGCACAAGAACUGCAUCACUCAGUAUAGUCAUGGGCUUGCUGGCAACUUAACUUCAUUUGCUUAUCCACUGUGAUUCCUGAGUCUCUUUCAGCGUCACCCUUACUACAGUUUGGUUUUGCAUUCUCUGUGUGGCUCGUGUCCCUUUGUGCUAUACUAACUGCUUAAAAUAACUUAAGUAAACAAAGACCAGCUGUGUUUCCCUUUCAGAAACAAAAAUGAAGUAAAUAACUAAUAAUUAAUUAAUCAAUAAUGAAGUAAAGAAUAUUAGCAGUGCAUCAGGAAUAGUGUUUUUUUAAAUAUAGGUCCUUUUACGUUCGGGGAAUACCAAUGACAGCUACAAAGUUAUCUGGCAAACCUACCCAUCUGUAACAAUCCAGUGGCAGGCUAACAGAUAACAAAAACUAAAAAUUAAUUUCAGCUUUACUUGCAAUCUUUCCUCAGAAUUUUAAAAUAUAGCAUUGAAAUAUUAUGCUAUACUGUACUGUAAAUAUGCAUGGAGCUUUAUACAUUGACAUUUCUUUUGACUGACUUACAGUCGAGUCACUGUUUCAGAUUUUAAUAAUUAUAAAUAUUAGUCAACAUGGUCUAUAAUAACUGAAGAUCUUGCAAUCCCAGGACCAGAAAGAGAGACAAGUAGUCAUAAAGAUUAACUGAAUUAUACUGAUUUCCCCAAUUACAUUGCUCAGAAGGAGGGAUUUGGGGUGGGAGAUAUUGCUUGUUUUUAAAGUUCCACUGAUAUUGUGCAUCUUGCAAAAGACAGGAUGCUUGAGUAGAGUACUGCCAAUAGGAUGAAGUGAUAUCUGACCUAUACCUUGGUAUAACUUUGACCUGUUUUAUUCUUUUAAGCAAGAAAAGUGGGAUGUUUAUCUCUCAGAAAAUUUUAAAUCCCAGUCUUGUGUUAUGCAUGAAUAACUUCGUUCCUGGGAGUAGUUUCACAGAAGUCAGUAUAUCAGCUUGCUGGAAUAAGGUUACCCACAUAAGUGGGUAUUUAUAGGAACUAGUUAACUUAAUAGUUAACUAUUAAGUUCCUGCACCAACUGUCAGAGUAAUUCAUGCUUUUCUAGAUUUAAAUAUACAUAAUACAAAAUGAGACUUUCUGCAAAGACAGAACUGUAGUAAUUUAUUGAAUUAUGUUGAAUCAACUUAUUAAAAUAGCUUUGGAGAUAUGCACAGAGUUGCUAGGUUGUGUAGGAGCCAGUAUCUUUUAGAAGAUUUUUUCCAUUGUCAGCUUGAAUACAGAAAAGAAUACUGUGCAUGUUUCACUCAGGUUUUUUAAACAUAUGGUAGUUCUCAUCUUAAUUGUUAUCAGACAUUUUAUAUAAUAAGCAGGAGUUUAAUUCAAGAUUGAAGGCAUAUGAAAAUAUCUUCAUACACAUUCAUGUGAGUAGCGGUUUGGAAAACAGGAGCAUUAUCAGUGCAAAAGUUACUGCAAAGGUGGUGCAGUAUUUCUGAAUAGCAAAAUUUCUUCAGUUUAGAGUGACAGAGAAACUUGUAUUUCCUUUAAUAAAGAACUAACAAAAUGAAGCUAUAUUUGACUGUUAGCUGUUCGGUGCAGAGACUGUUUGCUUCCAUGUGUUUGCAGGGUGCCUAGCACAAUGGGAUCCCAGUCCUUAACCAUUAACAUAAUAAAUAGGGUUAUUUAUAUUAAAAAUAAUAAAUCAGUCUUUCUGAUUUCUGCCUUCCCAACAGGAUGCAGGCUUCAAGUUGUUCCUUGUUUGUUCUUUUCCUUGCCUAGGCAUACUUAAGCUAUGUUUACUUAAUACUUCUUUGCUCCAUACUUAUGCACUCUUGUAAUCUAUAUCUUUUGUUAGAAGUUUUUGCAUUGAUUCAUAUUUUUAAUUAUAAUGGAAAAAUCUCUUCCUUUUUUUCCUUCCUCCCUUUCUAUUGACCAUAAAUACAGUUAUCUUCUAAGCUUACUAACUUUUAAAUUAGGUUACUUUUCAGAAGACACAUGAGAGGGAAGAAAAAAAAAUACAUUUAAGCAAUGAAGUUCAUUUAAAUGUGAACAGUGCUGUUCUGAUGCCUCCAGGCUGGAGGAAAUAUCAUAAGGAACUUUAUAGCGGUAGCAAAGAUUGCAAUAUCCUUGCUUGGAUACCUGCUCUUCGAGAGCCAGUUCCUGAUGACAUUUCUGAAAAG